AUAAAACUGGAUUUUCAAGCUUUUGGAAGCCUCUCGGGGGCAAUCAUCCUGGAAGUCAAAUUCGUCAAAGUAGCUAAUGAAGAGACUUCAGAGAUCUUGAAUGCAUCUAAGCCAGCAGCUCUCCGUGUCUCAUAAAGUUAGUGAUUUUGCCAACUUCCUGGAGGGUCAUUUCUGAUUCUGCAAAAGAGCUGCAUUUCCUUUCGAAUGGAGCCUGGGAGAGAGGGAGAAGUGGUCGCUGGAGUUGAUGCUCUCUAAUAAAUGUUUAAGCUGUAGUGGUAAGAAAUGUUUAGAAAAUAUAAAUGUGGCUGUUUGUGUAUAUCCAUUGACAUAGUUGAAAUAAAAUGGUGAAUUUAA
Molecule: long non-coding RNA, 354 nt
Organism: Ornithorhynchus anatinus (platypus)
Lineage: Eukaryota; Metazoa; Chordata; Mammalia; Monotremata; Ornithorhynchidae
Exons: 3
Source: RefSeq, a predicted model, not a curated record